AAUACACACCAAGUAUUUGCUAUUACCAUCAUUAAUAACCACAAACUAUGAUGGAUUAGUUGAACAAUCUUUAGAAGUUUACAUAAUUACUUCUCCUAAUAUUUUUGGUACUAUCUGGAGCCCUUCCCAGUGGAGAACCUCCUUUGCCACGGCUGCAGAUGGUCUACGUCCCAGGACGAGUGUGGCCAACUGAGUGGGACCUCACUAGAAUGGAGGUACCAUCUUCUCUCACUGCACAGUUUUAUCCAAUCAUCCAAACUCACAGCAGCUCUUUCGGCAGCCAACUGCUGUUUUAGCUAACAGGUGUAGAUCUUUGUCACCUGCAUCGUUACUAAAGGCUCUGCUUUAACAUCUGGAACACACUAAGCACCAUGUUCAAAGCUGCCCCUGUAGACAGCUCCUCUGCAUUUCCCCAGAGGAGGACCAUAUCUCAAGACUGCUCAGCACCCAGUGGUUGCUCAAUUUGUUAGACCAAAAUGCCACCAAUUUCCCAGAAGUUUACUAGCGUCCACACUUACUCAACCAUGUACCCUGCCAAGGAAGACUGAGGGACAAUUAGAAGGCCUUCCAGGAGGCAGUAAUGAGGAAAUGUCCUUGAUGCCAGUAAGAUACGCAUGGGGUCCCAACAGGACAAGGCCCUUCAGAAAUGUGACAGUUGUACGUAUUUGCCCAGGAUGAGAAAAGGAUCUGGCUCAACAAGACCAGCUUUUAUGGUCCUUAAGUUACAGGGACAACCUGAGCACCAAUUUAGGCCUUGGAUACAAGCGAGCACGCCGACCAGUCCCAACCUUCCCUGGGGUUGGAGGCUUGCUCUCCACUGGCAGGCAGAGCCUGUGCCUGCAGACAUGGCAGCUGUGCUUCUGGAGCAGUUUCCCAUUCCAAAACUUGACCAUCCUGCACCUGACCUGUGAUGCACCUGAUGUUUAGCAUCAAGAUCUCCUUUAGGGAGGGGAUCACUGGGUUCCCAAGAACUCAAACUAAAAACACAUCUCAGGAGGAAUCCAUUUCUGGGGUUGCUUGUCAGGCUGUUUCCUCUGUGGGGUGGAAGGUUAAUUCUGCAGCUUUCAUUUAAGCCUGGGACCUAGCUGGCCAUCAGUGAGGUGCUUGGUCCUAAAGCUGGAGGAAGGCACCAGGGACAAAGAUUAAGAACCAAGGAUGCCAAUAAAAAGGAACAAAGUACUGAUAACAAGCUACAACAUGGAUGAACCCCAAAAGACUCAGCUAAAUCAAAGACACCAAUCAUGAAGGACACACAUUUUAUGAUUCCAUUUUAUAUAAAAUGCCAGAAGAGGCAAAUAGAUAUGGAGAGAAAGUAGAUAGGCAUUUGCCUAAAGCUUAGGGGGAUGGGGAGGUGCGGGACUAAGAGGCUAACAGCAAAGGGGUGUGGUCUAUCUUCUUGGGGUAGUAAAAAUGUUUAAACAUUGAUUGUGGUGCUGAGGCACGUCUCUGAAGAGACUCAAGGUCACUGAGCUGCCUACUUUAAAUGAGAGAAUUGUAUAGCAUGUAAAUUCUACCUCAAUAAAGCUGCUUGAGGAGGAAUCAAGUAAGUAUUUAAUAUCAUUUAUUGUGGGAAAGUUGUUUCAUCUUGGUUUCUAAGGUUUAUGGUUAUGUCCAACUUGCAAACAGUUUAAGGAAGGAGCAGAAUUAGCUUGCUCAAGCUCUGCCUACAUCUCUCCGCAGAACUCCUGGGGCAUGCUGCCAGAAUUUUACAACUGAGACCAAAACAGAAGUAAGACUUUAUCAUUCCAUGCUGCACCAUCAAAUUCAAAUUUCCUAUAACCAAGCAAACUAGGAAACAGGACUUAGGCAUCAAGGGUCCUGCACUGUCAUUACAGCAAGCCACGCUGCAGCCGCGGGGACCGCUGCUACCAGGGCCUGUUCCUGGCCCAGCCCGAGCAAAGCUCCACACCCCUCCUGGGGCCCAGUGCACGUCCUCACAAGCCCCACACAGCAUGGAGUGCUGGUUUUCCCCUGGAUGAACAUCAGGGUUUUAAUUUCAUGCUACUUAAGCAAACAACCGGGAAUUUCUGAGAGCUGCUCAGUGCCAGCAACAUGUUUGGUUGUUUCUGAGGAGCAGAGAGGUUAGGAUUUAAUAAACGGUUGAACAUGAGAACCAACUUCAGCUCAUGUGCAGGCUCUGUAUUCAGAUGGAAGCAAAGAAUGGACAAAACCAUACCACGUCCAGUCAGGGGGGAACAGGAGAGAAUAAAAGAGGCUGUACCUGUACGCACAGGGAAGUUAGGCAAGGCAGAGGCAAACAUGGAAGAUUCUGAAACACGGAGAGAAUACGAUUAACCUUAAGAUGAAGAGAGAGGGAGACCAGCUAUAAGAACCUAGUAUUUGAGCACCUGUUACUUCUCCUUUAAGAAAAUCCAACAAAUACUUUUCCCAACUUUUAAUUCCUUAACCAUUUUACUUUAUAAAAUACAACACCUACUAUAAAAUACAACACCUACUUCUUAAAUGAAGCAUGGACAUUAUAUAUUUUUUAAAGUCACAGACGGCAGAGAAAGCAGUAAUUUCACUGCCCCCUUGAACAUGACACCAAAACACAGAGCUGGUGUCAGUUACUGGGCUGAUCUUAUUCUGGUUGUUUCCUGUAAGUGGAAUCUCAACCAACGGAGGGAAGGUUGGAACAGGAGGAAUGAACGAUGGUCCCAAGACAGUUAACUAGCACUUCCCCAGAUUUUUAUUCCUAAUCAUCUACCAGCUGCAACAAACAUCAAGUAGGAAAAGAAAAAACUUACUCAUUUUGGUGGCCUAGAUAUUUAGGAUUUUAUUUUCACCUUUAAGUAAAUAACAUCUUUCUAUUUGAAGCACAGGGAGCUAGUUUAUUAACAUACUUAACGGAUGAGAACGUAGCGUGUCCACCCAUCUGCAACCCCAGAGGCUUGGGCAAGGUGCUGAGCGGAGGACACAGCCCCAGAUCUGUCCAAUGGGAGUCAUUCCUGCCGGGCCGGACUCAAGGGGGCCCACCCCAAGGACUUAGCGACAAUGACCUUACACUGAAGGAGCUCCAACAAUUAGGCCUAAGUUAGUAAUUACGUGCCAAUUUGAAAAAGGGCUACUUUCAUUAUCUUAUUAGGUACAGAUAUCCUGCUGUUUUAUGUUUUGAUCCAAUUCAGACUUGAAAAGUAAAACCUUAUUUCUUCCUGAAGGAUCAACUUACUCUGUUUCUGGCUUCAGGAACAUGGUGAUCAAGAGCUCACCACCAAUUUCCUUCUGAGAUCUUGGUGAUCCCCGUCACAGGAGAUGGCGGGACAGGGGAGCCGCCCACUCGAGCCGGGGCUGCACUGCAGAAGGAGGUACACACGAAAUACGGAUCCUCAUGGGAGGGAAACAUUCUGAAGGAUCAGAAUAUAUUUGAAACUCAUGCCACAUAAGAUAGGUGUCAUUUUUACUUUAUUUAAGGAAAAAAGGGGGAGGAGGAGGGACACAGUAAUUUUCAUAAUACACAGAAGACAAAUCAGCACUGGAAAAAAGAAGGCUGUGGACUUGCCACCAGUCUGCUUUGCAGCUCUAGGAUUAGUAAAUUUAAUGCAGUUUGUCAUUUUUAUUACUGUUUAGCAAAUUUAUAAUUGGCAAAAUUAGGGAUUAUGAAUCACCAUAAGUGGACUACAACUAAGACAAAAACCUAAAAAACCCAUAAAAAAAUCACUUAAAAAUAAACCAUAAAUAUGUGAUGCACAUUAGUGUAACAAAACCAUUUUUGUAAACAUUUUCUCCAACAUAACAUGUGCAUGAGAAAAAAGUAAAAACACUGCACUCAAUACAGAGUUACUCUGACUUAAAUACAGAAAGGUAUUACUUAUUAAAGCUUUGACUAAACCUAGAGACACAUCUGUGUUUUGAAGAGCACUGCUAUACUAGUUUCCAAUGUUCCAUAUUUAAUGGUAUCAUCGUAAUACUGUUUUCCUCUGUAAUUCUGCCAUCUUGGCACUUCUGGGAAGUCACUACCCUGUUAAAAGAAUCAUCCCUUCUGUGGAAGAACGAAAUCUCAACAAGUCACAAUCGUGUACAAAGAAACCUAACUGGGCGCCUGCCUCAAGCUGCAGCACACAGUCUGGCUAACAAGGGUGAGGCGAGGAAGGAAGGACACCACAGCCAGGGACAGCACACGCCAGAAGCCUGCGCCAGGACAAACGGUGCUCCGACCUCAGUACGUGAUGCCCAGCAAUGGACUCGAUUCCGUUCAACUCAAACACCCAGAGAUGCCAGGUGGGGCCUGGUACUGCGCACGUGGGACGGGACCACUCUGACCUGAGCACAGACUCCAUCACUUCAUAAGGCCAGUCUUUGUCAAGUUCUAAAUACUCAGUAACUCCAAUGACAUACCACUUGCAUUAUUUGUGAAACACAUCUUGACUUAGAGACACUGAGCUUCAAGUCUGUGGAUAAUUAAGAUCAUGAUACCUCGUUCUUUUUUAUUUUUUCCACACUGGUAUCAGAAGUUCAGUAUUUUUCCAAAGAAACCUGCCCAACUUUUACCUCUCUCUAAAGCCGUGGAGGGGCUACAAUCGAUCAAGCCAUCCAAUUCUUUCUCCUCUUGGCAUGCACACGUGUUCACUGGCACGUGCCAUCUCACUUGCAAAGCCAAACAUGUUAGGAAAUCGCCAGCAGAAAUCUGAUUUUUGAUUGAAGUCCUAUGGUGAUGGAAUCUGGCCUAUCUCAGAAGUCCCUUCUCCAAAGGUGGCAUUAACUCUUCAAUCUUCUUUAUGUUAACUACAAAUUUGUAGGAAAAAUCUAGUUCUUUCUGCUUUGGACAUGAGCACUACUCUAAAGUCACACACAUGGGAAAACCAUUUCCAUGGCCUUGUCCUUCCAAAAGAGAGGAAAGCUUUCUCAGCUUAUCUUGUCUUUGUGGGUAUGCACAACCAGCUGUCAUUUAUGCAUUUCUGAGUGUAUGUAUUUUUCACUAGAUUUUUGUAAUUCAAAAGAGAGCCUUUGGCAAAAAUGCUGAACCAGGAGGAAGAGAAUGACAGCAUUUAAAACGGAUGCUAAGAGGGAUGACAAUGCUGGGCAAAGCCUCGGCAAAUAGGUGCAAAUAAUUACUACAUUUUUGGGCGGAAAAUUCCCCACUUUCAUGUUAUAAAAGAAAAUUAACUACAAAGGAGGAUUAAACCUAUGAAACACCAAGCUUCUGUCUGGUGAACAAAGUUUAAAGU
Molecule: long non-coding RNA, 5165 nt
Organism: Equus caballus (horse)
Lineage: Eukaryota; Metazoa; Chordata; Mammalia; Perissodactyla; Equidae
Source: Ensembl